Molecule: ribosomal RNA, 199 nt
Filed under: Glomus sp. (unid)
Lineage: Eukaryota; Fungi; Glomeromycota; Glomeromycetes; Glomerales; Glomeraceae
Source: RNAcentral
CAGUCUUACCUGCGGACAAUCAGCUUUUUGAGUGUGAUUAUGUGGAUUGUGAGGAGUUUAAUCACCCUCAUGUUUUGCAUAUUCGUGCUCUUGGGUGUACUUGCCUGUGUGGUUAGUUAACAUCAAUUUUGGUAUCAUAAAUGGUUGGAGGAAUGUAGCUUCGAUCUCGUAUUGAAGUGUUAUAGUCCCUUCGGCAGAU